CGCUCCUGCUUUUCCCUGCGGACACUCUUGAAGGAACCGCAGUUCUUGGCUGGCACCUCUCAGGUACCUGGCGGAGUGACCCAGGACAGCGAUAAAACACAUUAUUCUGUGGUAAAUGAUACUCAGAUGUUCUGCAGCAGCAGGAAAUUCAAUGUGUGGGUACCCAUUAAAGGGUACAAGUGAAUUCACAGUGCAAGUGAAUGCAUCCAACAGCCAGGGCAGCUUGAUAAGUGAUGCUGUAACAAUUGUCAGGCCUCCAGGAGCCAAACCUGUGUGGAUUUGCAGUUGAUCAGGAAGGGUCAGCCAGGACUGUGCAUGGACUUAAAUGCUGGAACUGCCAGUUAAAGCCACUGCUGCAUAAUAAGAAGCUGAAACCAAGAGAACAAAUGAUCUUCAGAGUGGGAAGGCAAAAGAAAGCAGAGAAGUUUUUCAAGAUGUUCAAGUUCAGAAUAAAGGCAUUAUGGAGUAUAUAAAUUUUAAAUACACUGCUUUUUGCCUCAAGGCUUAAAGCUUUUUUUUUCCAGAUGAACUGAAAUCUUGUCUGCAACUGUCUUUGUUACAUCAAAGGACUGCCUGGAAAACUAAAAGAGAUGGAAGAAGUAUAAAAGGGCAUAUUUUAAAAUAAUUAGUGACAAAUUUCAUACCGCAGAGGUAGAAGUAAAUUUUUUUGAGUUUUAUGUUUUUCGAAAAGGAAUAAAUGUGCUCUAUUUGUCUUGUCCUAAACUGCUUUGGUGGAAGUUGUAAAAAAAAUAGUAUCCUAGUCAGUGCUUCACAUUAAUUUGAAGUUGGCAAGCAGUAAAAAAAUCUGGAAAACAAAUUUCUUUAGAAUUAAUGUAAUUAGGUAAAUGACUUGAAGUGAUGCAGAGGUUGUAAAACUGCAAAAUUCUGGGAGAAAAUCUUCUGCAUGACAUUCUUGGCUAUCCAUUUUUCUUCUCAAUGAGUGCUAUUUCUGAUGAGGUGGCAGGUAGAAGACCCAUUAUUUUAGGAUUGCUUUGUAAUAAGGGCUGGUAAGCUAGCAGAAAAUAAAUUUGUAAUCACUGCUGAUAAUACUCUGGUUAAAUCCAUUUGUUGCCUUCCUCUGACCAUCAAAGCCCUAGUAUGGAGGGGAAUGAGAGGUCCUCUGUACAGAAAGGAGAAAGAUUAUGUUGAAAAAUUAGGGGCAAAGAGAGAUAACAGAGAAAGACAGGCUGCUGCUCAGAUGGAAGCAGGAAGGUGAGGUUCAAUCAUCACCUACAAGGAACAGAAAAGUACUGGAUUCCCAAGAUAUCUAUCUAACUUCAGAAUAAUAUUAUCUCUAAUUCUGAUGAAGAGCAGGAAAUGUUUUAAACAAAAUUCUUAAAUGCAAAAUUGCCACCAUUUCUUUUCUAGAGGCAGUUUAAGGAGACAGCAGGAUAGAUCAGGGAGGAGGAAAGAGCUCUCCUACAUCUCUCAUCAGUGACCCAGCUAAUUAAAUAGUGUCAGUGGCGAGCUGUGCAUUGUCCAUCCCAGUUCCUUUUGUCCAGAAAGAUGAUUUCAUGGGGAUACAAGGCUAGGAUUGCAGAAGUGCUUGUGUGGAAAAUUGGGAGUUGUUCUAAUGACACAAUAAUUCUUCUCUAAGCUCUGCAGUAUUGAACUGAUUGUCAUUUUCA
Long non-coding RNA from Manacus vitellinus (golden-collared manakin), 1628 nucleotides. RefSeq lists it as uncharacterized. The transcript is spliced from 3 exons. The record is from RefSeq and is a predicted model, not a curated record. NCBI's taxonomy places the organism in Eukaryota, Metazoa, Chordata, Aves, Passeriformes, Pipridae.